CUCCAGGCUCCUACGGGCUGUGCGGUGCCAGGGCUCGACUGCUGAGCGUCGUGGGCUCCGAGAGGGACGCGGGCGGAGGGCAAAGUGGGUUCAUGAUAUGAAUUGUAAAAUUGGCGACUGCGUAAUGUAAAACACUUAACAAUUGCUUAGAUUUCCUUUGGGAAAUAACUUGCUUUUAAAUUGUAAACAAAUUACAAACAAACUGCUAGUGCUUCUGGAUCUUCUUACCGAAAUGGCUGAUUCAGGAGGAUGCGGGGAGCGUCAGAUCAGGAUUGCUGAAGGAGAGCUGAGAAUGAAACCACCAUUUAUUCAGCACUCAGAAUGCUCCAGGCAGUGUAAUCUCAUUCCAUCUUCAUUCAUGACUCCAGACAGGCUUUCCCUUCCAGGUAUGGCCACCAGUGCUCCAGAUUUACAUUCUAUUUACCUCACAACCCCAGUGGAAAAAGAAUAUCUCUUUCCUGAUUGGUCCAGCAGAAAUCUUGGUAUUAACUCUGACUGCCCACACUUGAAUAUGAACUAUUAGUAAGUACUGUGGCCAAGAGUUUGCUUCGGGAAAGAAUAUGAUAAAGUCACCUUAUCUUUCAUGUUUGCUCAGAAUAGUGAGGUGAUUCUCCACAGGAAAACUGGAAUGCUGUUACUAGAAGAAGAAAUACUGGACAAAGCUAAUAGAUGUCCCCAAAAGUGAUGAUAAUAAUUUUAUUCAAAUAGGUUCA
This 713-nucleotide long non-coding RNA is filed under the name Homo sapiens (human). RNAcentral describes it as "non-protein coding lnc-SH3BGRL2-1:4". Lineage: Eukaryota; Metazoa; Chordata; Mammalia; Primates; Hominidae. The record is from RNAcentral.